Molecule: ribosomal RNA, 301 nt
Filed under: uncultured bacterium
Lineage: Bacteria
Description: partial 16S ribosomal RNA
Rfam family: Bacterial small subunit ribosomal RNA
Source: RNAcentral
CAGCAGCCGCGGUAAUACGAAGGGUGCAAGCGUUAAUCGGAAUUACUGGGCGUAAAGCGUGCGUAGGCGGUUUGUUAAGUCUGCUGUGAAAUCCCCGGGCUCAACCUGGGAAUGGCAGUGGAUACUGGCAAGCUAGAGUGUGUCAGAGGAUGGUGGAAUUCCCGGUGUAGCGGUGAAAUGCGUAGAGAUCGGGAGGAACAUCAGUGGCAAAGGCGGCCAUCUGGGACAACACUGACGCUGAGGCACGAAAGCGUGGGGAGCAAACAGGAUUAGAGACCCCGGUAGUCCCUGUCUCUUAUAC